Molecule: ribosomal RNA, 292 nt
Filed under: uncultured bacterium
Lineage: Bacteria
Description: partial 16S ribosomal RNA
Rfam family: Bacterial small subunit ribosomal RNA
Source: RNAcentral
GUGUCAGCCGCCGCGGUAAUACGGGGGGGGCAAGCGUUGUUCGGAAUUACUGGGCGUAAAGGGCUCGUAGGCGGCCAACUAAGUCGGACGUGAAAUCCCCAGGCUCAACCUGGGAACUGCGUCCGAUACUGGAUGGCUUGAAUCCGGGAGAGGGAUGCAGAAUUCCAGGUGUAGCGGUGAAAUGCGUAGAUAUCUGGAGGAAUACCGGUGGCGAAGGCGGCAUCCUGGACCGGCAUUGACGCUGAGGAGCGAAAGCCAGGGGAGCAAACGGGAUUAGAAACCAUUGGAGUAC